CCAUUUUUCAAAAGCCCAAUAGUCAUUUGUGCUACUAGCCAUGAUAUACACAAGGCAGAGAGAAUAUUUCCAUCCUCAGAAAAAUGCUCUCCUGGGCAGGUGCUCAGAGUCUGGCACUCUGCUCAUUGAAGUCAUCUAACACAAAGCGUGUCCACAAUAGUCAGAAUUUCAGGGUGAUAAGAUUGCAGGCAAGUGCUGGGAUGGUCUAGUUAAAUGGGGAAGUGAGAAGUUGAGAGAGGAUUGUUUCACCUGCUCGCUCUCAUUUGCAAACUGUUUGUCUUGUUGGAGGCCUCUGAUUGCACAUAGCCCAGGGAAGGUCUGAGAUCCCAGGGGAAAGAGCAUGAGGAUCUUGAGUAGCCAGCAUGGUCUCAACUGGAGAAGGAAGGGACAGAUGUGCCACUCUCUAUAAUAAUUUCUUGCUGAUGUUUGUGUUCUUAAAGAUUGGCUUGCAGAUUGGCAGUAUGACUCCACCAGCAGUGAUGAGGACAACAAUCAAACCCUCAAAAACAUUUGAGGAGGAGGAGUCUUUUUCUUAAAUUCUCUUUUCCCAGAAUAUACAGAAGGCAUAGAAGAUGUGAAAAGAGAG
Molecule: long non-coding RNA, 586 nt
Filed under: Dasypus novemcinctus (nine-banded armadillo)
Lineage: Eukaryota; Metazoa; Chordata; Mammalia; Cingulata; Dasypodidae
Description: lncRNA (ENSDNOG00000052469.1)
Source: RNAcentral